This is a long non-coding RNA of Strongylocentrotus purpuratus (purple sea urchin), 2610 nucleotides long. RefSeq lists it as uncharacterized. Lineage: Eukaryota; Metazoa; Echinodermata; Echinoidea; Camarodonta; Strongylocentrotidae. The transcript has 2 exons. The record is from RefSeq and is a predicted model, not a curated record.
GGACAUUCAGUGACCUGUUUUCAUGUCGACUUGGGAGGUAAAAACCUCAUAAAGACCGCGUUUUUCUGUGUUUUAUUGAGUAACAUCGCUACUAUCCCAGUGAGCUACCAUUGUUAUAACCUCCAACACUGUCAGGCACAUGAACCAGAGUUCUGAACUUCUGAGUGGACCCAACAAAAUGCCGGUUUCCCUUCGAGACAAACAUGGGCCAGGUGGUUUUCCUCGCUGUGGUGGAUAACGCAACAAUGUCAACAUUACCUAGUGUCCAGAAUUCCAGAUGGCCUUUGCUGUCUCCUUACCUGCUCAAUCUUGCUGUAAUUGAUACUCAAACUUCCAGCCUGUCGUAUCACAUCAAGUGUGUCAGCACAGUCAUGUUUGAGGAAUCUUCCUUUGAACAAAAAAUGGCAUUUCCACUUACAUGUAAGUUCAACUGUGAAGAGAGAUGAAGCAUUUUUAUGCUGUUGGAUCCGAAAUUCUAUUUCCUUGUUGCAUCGAUCAUAGAAAAGCAGUGCAUAUCAUCCUCUGGAAUGACUAAACAGUGCAUCAAACUUGUUCAGAAAAAAGACACGAAAAGCUACUUAUGGCCUGAGUAACACCAGCUAUGUUGAAACAUUUAGGUUAUGUCACCUUCAAUCCUGAAACAAACAGGCAAGAUGAUAUGCCACAAGUUCGAAAGAUCAUUGCCCAACUUGAAGCUUCUUCAAAUGCCCUGGAUUAAUAUCCAGUGGUAUCAACAUCUUGAUACAGACCCUCUCAUUAAACUUUCUCAGACUAUGUUAAAUCUUCAUACGCAAACUACAAAAAGGUAAACAGUAUAUGAUAGGACCAGGUGGGGUAACCUCCCCCCCUCUUCUCUCUCUCUCCCUCUCUCUACUGUUUCACUAUCCACUUUAUUUGCCUUUCUCUCCCCCUCUCAUACCUCAACUGAUACUUGUUCUAUCUGGUUAAGAUUUACAACCACAUGUUUUUAUCUAUUUGAAUUGGUUCUUCAAUUUACACUUGUGAAUUACUUGUACAGUCAGAUAAGGUAUUGUUUAACUGUAUACUCUCUCCAUUCAAUCUAUAUCUCUCUCUCUCUCUCCUUCUCUCUAUUUCUUCAGAUCUCUGUACUCAUUUUAACCUUUGAUAAAAUGAAUAUCUUUAAUUAAGCCUUAUUAAUGAUUUUUUGACAGAUUAAGCCAUUUCCCCAUUUAAUUGCUAUUUCUAAUUAAAUUGUGUGUUAUUGUUCUUUCCAUCUUUCUCUCAUUGGUCUUUCAUCCUUGGUAUCUCCAUCUCUCUCCACACCACCCCUGUCUCUCACACACAUACAUCCUCUUGUCAUUAUUGUAUCCUCUUUCUGUUUCAUCUGUUUUAUUUCAAUUAAAUAAAAACUUGGUUCAAAGGCCUUACAUUGUUUGAUUACGAACAUUAUACCAUAUAUAAUGGGCAUUAUGUUGAUGAUAGUUUGUAUUUAUGCUUAUCAGUUUUACCAGCUUUCUUGUGCAGCAAGCCUUGUAGUUUGGUUAUUUGCAUCGUCUUUUAUAGAAGGUGUAAAAUUAUUGUUCAUAUUCAAUUGUACUUGUAAUGAUUUUUAUUCUUGUUUACAUGUACUGUAGAUGCACAGUCAAACAAGUCCAUAGUGCAUUACAGUGGCAAAUUAAUUUAUGCAACCAUGUAACUCUAUGCAUGAAUUAACAGCUGUGGACUUCCAAAUUAUGAUCUUAUCUCAUGAUUUGAUUUUCAAGAAAAUUGAUCAGUCGUGCCAUUAUAUUGGUCCAGUCAUUGAAAGGACACUUGUGUCUUAUCUCCUUCUGCUUCUUGCUUUUUUUCUUCUAGAUUUUUUCCCCAUUUGAUGGGAGGAGAACACAGACCUCCUCCAUGAAGAAAGUGCAUGCCAUUUAAAUUGUGCAAUUGAUAUAGAAAAUAUAAUUAUAUUCAGGUUGUGCAAUGACGUACAUGUAAUUAUGCUCCUUGUCUUGGACUUGUAAAAGUGGAUUUGGAUGUAGGGCUAAACAAUAUUUUUCAUUUUCGGCUUUACGUAUGUUCUCGAGUUUUCAUCUGAUAACUGAUGAAUUUGGGGAGAUCGCUUAGGUGUAUCUGUCAAGAACCUUAUUUUCUUUCUUAAUAUUUCAUAAUGUAUAUUGCAUGAUGUAAUAAGUUUGUCAUUAACCUGAUGUUGAUUUUCAUAUAUUGACUAUUUUGUAAUACACUGUACAUCGAUUUGGGGGAUAACAGACUUUACCUUUUGUGUUUUAAAGUAGCUGUGUUUGCAUGUUAUAACCGUCUGAUUUCAUCAAAUUUCAUUGAAAGAGAGGUAUCCUUGAAGCAGUUUAUAAGUUACAGCUGCUUAAGAAUACUUGCUGCAUAAUGUAAUAAUCCAUUAGUGUAUGCAUCAUUGAAUCACCCAAGAUUUCAAUAUGGUGGAGGGAUGAAAAGUCUCUUGUAGUUUUGUUUUACAUCAAGUAGCAUUUUUAAAACUGAGUACUGAUAAGAUAGCUCCUAAUUGUUGGCUGUAGUUUGCCCAGUAAAAGUGGUGUCUGCUUUUAGGUGCUGUGUUUUGAUAUAAUUUAAGUAUGUGCCGGAGAAGUAAAUAAUGUAAAAAGCUAUAAUAAAGUUGUUUGAAAGAAGCAA